This 253-nucleotide ribosomal RNA is filed under the name uncultured bacterium. RNAcentral describes it as "partial 16S ribosomal RNA". It matches the Rfam family "Bacterial small subunit ribosomal RNA", at positions 524 to 776 of the family's 1533-position model. The record is from RNAcentral.
UACGAAGGGGGCUAGCGUUGCUCGGAAUUACUGGGCGUAAAGGGCGCGUAGGCGGACAGUUUAGUCAGAGGUAAAAGCCCAGGGCUCAACCUUGGAACUGCCUUUGAUACUGACUGUCUUGAGUUCGGGAGAGGUGAGUGGAAUGCCGAGUGUAGAGGUGAAAUUCGUAGAUAUUCGGCGGAACACCAGUGGCGAAGGCGACUCGCUGGCCCGAUACUGACGCUGAGGUGCGAAAGCGUGGGGAGCAAACAGG